Molecule: ribosomal RNA, 230 nt
Filed under: uncultured bacterium
Lineage: Bacteria
Description: partial 16S ribosomal RNA
Rfam family: Bacterial small subunit ribosomal RNA
Source: RNAcentral
AAAGCGUGCGCAGGCGGUUUUGUAAGACUGUCGUGAAAUCCCCGGGCUCAACCUGGGAAUGGCGAUGGUGACUGCAAGGCUAGAGUUUGGCAGAGGGGGGUAGAAUUCCACGUGUAGCAGUGAAAUGCGUAGAUAUGUGGAGGAACACCGAUGGCGAAGGCAGCCCCCUGGGUCAAAACUGACGUUCAUGCACGAAAGCGUGGGGAGCAAACAGGAUUAGAUACCCCAGU